UGCCUGGGCACACCCAAACAAAGAGAAUCCGAAUUAGGUGCAAAACUAGUUCCAUUCUAGUAUCUGUUAGUAGAUAUUCUAAUAUCAGUAUGUAAACAUUUGCUAAACAAAUAUACAAGUGGUAUAGAUAGAAAUGGUGAGUAGUCCAAAACUAUGCAUCAAUCAAAUAUGGUGCCUGAACAUAUACCCAUUUAAAAAUUACUUAAGAAAAAAAUUAAAAUUAAAAUUAAAAUUGAAAAUAAAAAUAAUCAUCACAUGUUUUCCUGUCACUAGGCAAAUAUUUACUAAACAAAUAUACAGGGUAUGGAUAGAAAUGGUAAAUACUCCAAUAUUUUGCGUGCAUGUACAACACAAAACAGGAUGAUCUUGAGUACAUGCCUCCAAACUGGACAACUUGGGCUCCCCAGCUCCAGCCAACACCCAUUCCCAACCCACAUAGCCAGAAGACAAGUAGGACGAACAAAUCAAGCUAGGAUAAAAAUACUUGGCUGAAAAGCUCUUAGUCAAAUUUGUAGCUUUUUGUGCCGAAAGCAUUUAGGUGACAUGCUAAUAGAAGUAGAUCAUUAAAAGCAGCAUCUUUCAAGUUAUUUGAGCUACAAAAAGUGAAAGAAAACAAAGAAUCAAAGGGGAAAAGGAAAAAAGAAACCCUCCUGACCCAAGAAAUUGGACAACUCAUUAUGGAGUCAACUAACUGCAGAUUCCCAGACAGCUGGGACAAUGAAUUAACAACAAAACAGCUGAUUCAAUGUUUUUCAUCUUUUCUCCCUUUGACAAUUUUUGCAUGUUUGAUUUGUCUAGGUUCAACUGAGACACAGCCUGCUUAAACUUCUUCACUGCUUAAAAAUUCAAGAUUUUUGAGUAAAAUCAUUUAUGGGUAUAAAUAAACCAAAAUAAAAAAUAAAAGGAACCUGCUACAAGGAAAAAAAAAAAACCAGAUACAUUGCGCACAAGAAAACAAAAAAGGAUAUCAUUAAUAUAAAAUAAACUUACCCAUGUUAUGUGUUCAAAUGCCAAGUAACCCUUAUCACCAAAAUUGAAUUUUGUAUCAGCCUCCUUGAUUACGAGGACAUUCUCCAAUCUUAUGCCAAAGUUCCCAUCCUCGUAGUAACCAGGUUCUGGAAAACACAAUUUCAAUAUAAAAUCCAUUUUUUCUAGCAUAAAAGCAUUUUAAGGCUCUCACAAAAGGUGAAAGGAACAAGCAGAAAAUUUGGUGCCAACAUACUUCAGUACUCAAUUACAAAUGCCACUAUUUCAACACUCUAGUACUCAUUCAACAAAACAUAACCAAAGUUCUGGAUUCAAUUUGAAUAUUAUAAUAAGCCAAAUCCAGCUCCUGAGUAAAAUUAUAAAUUGAUUUCUAUAAACUUUCAUAAAAAAACCUUUGUAUAAACAUACACUAGCAAAAUAGAGGGGAAAAACUCAAGUAGACAAGCAAGAAGUUAGAAAACCCAGGCAUUGAAAAAAUGCAUGUAAGUAUUUGGGUAGACAGCCAGUGUCAAACAUCUACUUGGUCCUGCAUGAAGAGGACUCCUGACAGUUUGCAAUCUUACACCACCUUGGAUUUCCAUAGGAUAUGGCCUCAUGGAAGAUGAAUGAAGAAAGAAUUUCUACACCCAACCCAAGUGGUUGGAUCUAAGGCUGUACUGUAUCAAGAAAAAUUUAUUCUAUAAAUCCAACUUAAGGUAAUGAAGCUGUGAUACCAACCAUCUGUUACAGUCAUUGAAGCUUGUAAUGGCACAUGCCGAGCAGGCGUUCUGAAACUAAUUAAAUGGGGUCCUGCUCAAUAUAGUGCAAUAAAAAAAAAGGUAUAUUAGUUCGCAUCAAAGAACAUAUAAAAUAACAAGAGGAAGAACCCUUCAUUCAUCGCUUACCUUCAUGAACAUUAAGGUAAGAUCCAAUUCCAUGACCAGUUCCAUGUCGAUAAUCAAGGCCAUCCUUCCACAAUGGGACACGAGCAAGAAUGUCAAGUGUGUGUCCUGUAAAAAUUAUUUAUAAAAAUAAAUAGUGAAUUUAACAUCAUAUGUGCGCAUAUCUAUGUAUCUUUAAAUAGAACAAAGUUACAAGCAACAAAUUUGGCACAUAACAAAGAAAAUUGCUGGUCAACUAUGUGAUUUGGUGAUUCCUGAGGAUCUAUGCUGAAAUUUACCCCUCCCUUGGAACUAAAGAAGCCCAAUAAGCUACUAGCAAAUUAAAUGAACAAGAGAAAAAGCUCAUCAUACCAGCGGUUCCACUAGGAAAUCGAGCAUUACCCAGACUGAUAUGACCCUUGAGAACCUGCAUGAAAUCCAACAAAUCAAGCAAAAUGCUCAAGACCACAACAUAACUCCUAGAUAGAAGAAAUUUGUUAGCAAGCAUCUAUUAAGACAUUUUAUGAAGCAAAGGGCCUAAAAAGGUAAGCAUCUAUUAAGACAUUUUGAAUGUAUUUGUUGAAUAUAAUGUAUGUAUAGUAUACUAUCUUUCCUUGUUAAUAUAGGUCACAUGUAUGGUAGUUAGGACUCCUAGCCUUAUAUAUAUAUAUAUCUCUCAAUUGUAAGUAGAGAUUACAAUGAAUGAGAAUAAGGUUUUUCUCCUCUCUCUCUCUCUCUCUCUCAACAUGGUAUCAGAGUCAAAGGAGAAAACCUAAUUUUUUUUUCGGUUUAGCCGUGUACUCAAUUCCGGCGAACCGUCCAGUGACCGUGUUUUCACUCCGGUCCCCUCACUCUCUUUCCGAACCACCCCGGACAACCUCAUCGCCGUCGGAUCUCCACCACGCCGGCAACCUUUUCCGGCGAAAUUUUCCGGCGACCUUUUUUCCGGGCAAAGACCACAUAUUCCGAACCGCCGGAGGCUGAUCUACACGCCAGUGGAAACCCCACCGGCAACCGGCAUCUCACGCGCCCCCACGCGCUGCCCUUCUCCUCCGGACUGUCACCCACGCGCCGGCGCGUGACGGCGCGUGGCUCACUUUCCGGCCACUUCCGACACCUUUCCAGGCUCGUCCGGCGCCGUCUUGGCCUUCUAGCCCUCCGGCAGUCCUCCCCGAGCCCUGCAUCUCCAUUUUUUUCCCUGUUUUUGGCUUUCUUGCCAUUCCGGCCACCUCCGACAGGGCUCCCCCUCCAUCCCUGAGGCUUGGGUGCUACUUCUCUUCCUCUCCAGGCACGUCACGACCUUUUUUUCUCCAUUGAUUGCACCUCUCACAGCCGUGGUUUCACUGUUUUUCUCUCUCCGCCGAAAUCUGAACCCAUCUUAGGGCUCUCUUCGAUCCAAAUACGUGAAUAUGACCACCAAAAAUCAGAUCUUUACGUCUGUUCUCUCUGGAUCUCCUUUGAUUACCUCAGAGAAAUUGGUUGGCAGUGAGAAUUAUCUCUCCUGGUCUGCCUCUGUUGAACUUUGGUUUAUGGGUCAAGGAUAUGAGGAUCACUUGGUUACCCAGGAGGCAGAUAUCCCUAAGGUUGACCGCGAACAGUGGAGGAAGAUAGAUGCACAGUUGUGUAGUGUAUUAUGGCAAUCGGUUGAUCCCCGGAUUCUUCUUCAUCUUCAGGCCUAUAAAACUUGUUUUAAAUUUUGGACUCAGGCCAAAGGAUUAUACACGAAUGAUAUCCAGCGUCUUUAUAAGGUGGCUUCUGCUAUUGUCCAUCUCAGCCAACAGGACUUGGAUCUAUCGACUUAUAUUGGUCAGAUUACCUCUCUUAAGGAGCAGUUCUUGACUGUGAUGCCUCUUACUCCUGAUGUUGGGGCUCAACAAAUACAGCUUGACAAGUUCUUCAUGGUCCUUACUCUUAUUGGCCUCCGUCCGGAUCUUGAGCCUAUUCGUGAUCAGAUUCUUGGUAGUUCAUCAGUUCCGUCCUUGGAUGAUGUGUUUGCUCGCCUCCUCCGUAUCUCGUCCACUCAGACUUUGCCAUCUGAUAGCGCUUCAGAUUCUUCUGUGUUAGUUUCUCAAACUACCUCUCGAGGAGGACGCAGUGGUACCCGAGGUAGAGGCCAACGUCCUCAUUGCACCUAUUGCAAUAAACUUGGCCACACUCGCGAUCGUUGCUAUCAGUUACAUGGAAGACCUCCUCGCACUGCCCAUAUGGCCCAGUCCUCUGAUUCUCCGCUGCCUCAGACUCCGAGCUCCUCCGCAUCUCAGACAUCUCAGGCUUCUAUUGCCUCUGUUGCCCAGCCUGGUAAUGCCUCUGCCUGCCUUACCCACACAUCUUCUCUUGGACCCUGGAUUCUAGAUUCUGGAGCAUCUGAUCACCUAUCUGGUAAUAAGGAUCUUUUCUCCUCUAUUACUACUACCUCUGAUUUACCUACUGUUACCUUAGCUAAUGGUUCUCAAACUGUGGCUAAAGGUAUUGGUUUGGCCCUUCCUCUGCCUUCUCUACCUCUCACUUCUGUCCUUUAUACUCCUGAAUGUCCUUUUAAUCUUAUUUCCAUCAGCAAAAUCACUCGUACUCUUAAUUGCUCUAUUACCUUUUCUGAUAAAUUUGUGACCUUGCAGGACCGGAGUACGGGGAAGACGAUUGGCAUAGGACGUGAGUCUCAAGGCCUCUAUCACCUCACCUCAGAUUCAUCUCCUGCAGUUUGCAUUUCCACUGAUGCUCCUCUCCUCAUUCACAAUCGUCUGGGCCACCCUAGUCUCUCCAAGUUCCAGAAGAUGGUUCCUCGUUUUUCAACUUUGUUGUCGCUUCCGUGUGAGUCAUGUCAGCUUGGGAAACAUACUCGUGUCUCGUUCCCAAAGCGUUUGAAUAAUCGGGCAAAGUCUCCUUUUGAGCUUGUCCACACUGAUGUUUGGGGUCCUUGUCGGACUGCGUCUACUUUAGGAUUUCAGUAUUUUGUCACUUUCAUUGAUGACUAUUCUCGAUGUACUUGGUUAUUUUUAAUGAAAAAUCGAGCUGAGUUAUUCUCUAUUUUCCAGAAAUUUUAUACUGAAAUCCAAACCCAGUUCAAUAUUUCUAUUCGUGUGUUACGCAGUGACAAUGCCAGGGAAUAUUUUUCAGCCCAAUUUACUUCGUUUAUGUCUCAUCAUGGGAUUCUUCAUCAGUCUUCUUGUGCUCAUACUCCUCAACAAAAUGGGGUAGCUGAACGCAAGAAUCGACAUCUUGUUGAGACAGCUCGUACUCUCCUCCUCCAUAGUCAUGUUCCUUUUCGCUUUUGGGGGGACGCUGUUCUUACCGCUUGUUAUUUGAUUAAUCGUAUGCCCUCCUCUGUCUUACACGAUCAGAUUCCUCACUCCCUUCUUUUCCCUGACCAACCACUUUAUUUCCUUCCUCCUCGUGUCUUUGGUUGUACUUGCUUUGUUCAUAUUCUCACUCCUGGACAGGACAAGCUUUCCGCCAAAGCCAUGAAGUGCCUCUUUUUGGGAUAUUCCAGACUUCAGAAGGGUUAUCGUUGUUAUUCCCUUGAGACUCAUCGGUACUUUAUCUCCGCUGAUGUCACCUUCUUUGAGGACUCACCAUUCUUUUCCACCACUUCUGAGUCUCUUCCUGUUUCUGAAGUCUUGCCCAUUCCCAUUGUCUCCCCACCUGAUGCUAUGCCCCCUCGACCACUUCAGGUUUAUCAUCGCCGCCCUCGUGUCGUUGCUCCUCUCCCUUUUCCUGAGGCACCUGCUGACUCACUUCCUAUCCCUUCGGCUUCACCUGCCCCGGCUCUGCCUUCUCCUAAUGACUUACCUAUUGCUGUUCGGAAAGGUACUCGCUCUACUCGUAAUCCUCAUCCUAUUUACAAUUUUUGAGUUAUCAUCGAUUAUCUUCACCCUAUUCUGCUUUUGUUUCUGCUAUAUCCUCUGUUUCUCUUCCAAAGAGCACCCAUGAAGCUCUUUCCCAUCCAGGCUGGCGACAGGCAAUGGUGGAUGAAAUGGCUGCUCUGCACUCUAAUGGCACUUGGGAUCUUGUUGUUUUACCCUCUGGUAAAUCUACAGUUGGUUGUCGUUGGGUCUAUGCAGUUAAGGUUGGUCCUGAUGGUCAGGUUGAUCGCCUUAAGACCCGUUUAGUUGCUAAAGGCUAUACUCAAGUUUAUGGUUCUGAUUAUGGUGACACAUUCUCCCCUGUUGCCAAGAUUGCUUCUGUCCGCUUGCUUCUCUCCAUGGCUGCUAUGUGUUCUUGGCCUCUUUAUCAGUUGGAUAUUAAAAAUGCCUUCCUUCAUGGUGAUCUUGCCGAGGAAGUUUAUAUGGAGCAACCUCCUGGUUUUGUUGCUCAGGGGGAGUCUGGUUUAGUGUGCAGGUUACGCCGUUCUCUAUAUGGCUUGAAACAAUCUCCUCGAGCAUGGUUUAGCCGUUUUAGUUCUGUUGUUCAAGAGUUUGGCAUGCUUCGCAGUACAGCAGACCAUUCAGUUUUUUAUCAUCAUCACUCCUUGGGGCAGUGUAUUUAUCUGGUUGUUUAUGUGGACGACAUCGUCAUUACAGGCAGUGAUCAGGAUGGUAUUCAGAAACUAAAGCAACAUCUUUUUACCCACUUUCAGACCAAAGACUUGGGGAAACUCAAGUAUUUCUUGGGAAUUGAGAUAGCUCAAUCCAGUUCUGGUGUGGUCCUUUCCCAAAGGAAGUAUGCUUUAGACAUCCUGGAAGAAACCGGUAUGUUAGACUGUAAACCGGUAGACACACUCAUGGAUCCGAAUGUCAAACUUAUACCAAGACAGGGGGAGCCUUUAGGAGACCCCGGGAGAUAUCGACGGCUCGUAGGUAAAUUGAACUAUCUCACCAUUACUCGUCCAGACAUUUCUUUUCAUGUGAGUGUUGUUAGUCAAUUCCUACAGUCACCAUGUGAUAGCCAUUGGGAUGCCGUAAUCCGUAUCCUUCGAUAUAUCAAAAGUACACCAGGCCAAGGUGUAUUGUACGAGAACAGAGGUCAUACUCAAGUUGUUGGUUACACAGAUGCAGAUUGGGCUGGCUCACCCACAGAUAGACGUUCCACUUCAGGGUACUGUGUUUUUAUUGGAGGUAAUCUAAUAUCUUGGAAGAGUAAGAAACAAGAUGUAGUGGCCAGAUCUAGCGCUGAAGCCGAGUAUCGAGCUAUGGCUUUGGCAACAUGUGAACUCAUAUGGUUGAGACAUCUUCUUCAGGAGUUGAGAUUUGGAAAGGAUGAACAGAUGAAACUCAUCUGUGAUAACCAGGCCGCAUUACAUAUUGCAUCCAAUCCAGUCUUUCAUGAAAGGACCAAGCAUAUUGAAGUUGACUGUCAUUUCAUUAGAGAGAAGAUCGCAUCAGGAUGUGUUGCUACAAGUUUUGUCAAUUCAAAUGAUCAACUAGCAGACAUCUUCACUAAAUCCCUCAGAGGUCCUAGGAUUAAAUAUAUUUGUAACAAGCUUGGUGCAUAUGACGUAUAUGCUCCAGCUUGAGGGGGAGUGUUGAAUAUAAUGCAUGUAUAGUAUACUAUCUUUCCUUGUUAAUAUAGGUCACAUGUAUGGUAGUUAGGACUCCUAGCCUUGUAUAUAUAUAUCUCUCAAUUGUAAGUAGAGAUUACAAUGAAUGAGAAUAAGGUUUUUCUCCUCUCUCUCUCUCUCUCUCAACAGUAUUCAAUAAAAAAAAUUAUAAAAAUCAGUAGAACAUUUUAUGAAAUAUGAACAAAAAACAUAUGAAUUUAUAUUCUGGGAUAAGGCUACUUCCUUUGCAAACACCUAAAAUGCAACUUCAGAAAACUCAACGAAGUUUUAUCCCACUACUUUGUUCAUAUUGGAAUUGAUACUUGAUCUCCAACCGAAAGACUGGAAAUUUCAAAGUUGAAAAGUAAUGUCACGAUAGAUAAGUAUUAGAGUUCGCAGUGAACUGCACUGGUGUAGCCAUAACGUGCUGACAGGCAGGCAGUGAUAGUCAUAGCAUAGAAUGGUGCUAGAUAUGUAAAAGAUGAUGGCAGUGCAAACUUGCUGAGAAGGUGGUGAAGUGAUUGCGAUCAUGUCAUGAUUGUUUAUAGUAAGAGGAGCUAAUGGUGGAAAUAAAGGUGCCAAAAUUGAUAACAUGGGAUGCAGUGGAAAUUUUUGAGGUGUAUUAGGUGUGUUGAUACAUAUAGUCGCUUCCAGAUGAGAGGUCUGGAUACAACAACACAGGUUGAUGAGGAGGAAGAUUGUGUAAAAGGUAGCAACAGGUUCUAGGUGGGCAGUGGUAGUAUGGCCAUAGUAUUGGAGGUGAUAGAAGCAAUGAGGAGGAUAUAAAGGGUAGCGAACAAUUUGAUCAAUUUCCCCGUAAGUAAAAUGAAUGUGGAUAAGGUGGUAAUGGCUGUAACAGGAUAUCAAAGCAGAAGAUGGCAGAAGCAGUGACAACAGAAAUGGUGUUCCUAGGGGCCUAGCAGUGGUAGCAGUGGAUCUAUAAGGGGCUGAAAAAUUAGAAUUAGAACACAUUUCCAACUUUUGGAUGGACUUCUGUUCCAUCUCAAAAUGUUUUGAAAUAUGUUCAUUUCCAAGUCGACUGCAGUGACACCCUGAAAAAAUAUGGAACUUUUUCCGUACUUCAGAAUUGAAAACAACCAUAUUCUGUUUUGAAUGAACAAGGUUAAGAAGUGUUCAAAUGCCAAAUAAAUACAAGAUAUCCUGAAAAGAAAGCAACAAGAGCCACAUACCGCAGUAUAGCAUGCUUUCUCAUGUGAUGAAGGUUUUCCAAAAUGAACAGUUCGAGUUAUAUCAGUUGUUCCAUCUUGAUACUUCAAAGACACCAUAUCAUCAGUAAAGAAUAGCAAUAUCAUAAACACAAAGUUAAUACAAAAAAUGGACUUAUUGUAUUGCCUUCUUUGGUUAAUGGCUAUAUCCCAAACAAUUCAAGAUAGUUGGCAAACCUGCGCUCCAGAAUCAAAUAGAUAAAUGCUAUCGGGAUCUAACUCAGAACAUGUUUCUGCAUCUGGAGAAUAAUGAAUGAUAGCUGCAUUUGGACCAACCGAUGAAAUAGUAGGAAAACUUAAUCCUCUAAAAUGCUGCAAAAAGAAGCCAUCAAGAAUAUUACACAUAAUGCUAUCUAUUUAAUGAAAUACAAAGUUCUAUCAGAAGAUAGAGAAGAAUAACAAAAAUAAAACUAAUCUAGGAAAAACAAAAAUAUCACAAAACAAAUUACAUGAAAGGACUUAUCAGAAAUACAUCUCCUAGAAAAUCAUUCAAGCAAAAAGGGCGUCUUAAGUUACUUCAUAGUGGUAUUGAAGAGAUAGGACAAGUCUACAAUCAACAAUCAUGAUCAUUAUAAAAAAGUACAGCAACAAAAUCAACAAAUCCCCUUGUUCAAACUAUCAAUGCCAUCUGGUAAUGUUGAAAUGACACUUUUGACUGUCAGUAUAACAAAAACUUUUCUAUAAAGUACCUCUUUUGAUGCUCGAAAACUUUCUAGCUUAUCACUUGCAGAUACCUCUGUCAGUUUCAUAGUUUCCCUGACAAAGUUAGACAGACAAUAAUUAUCAAAAUAGAAACUAUUGUGUAGAAGCUUUUUUUUUAAAAAAAAAAAGAAACAAAUUCAAUAUGACCCAUGAUUUCAGACCCAUAACAGUGAAGUCUAGGAUAUUUAUAUGCACCUAGACAUCCAGAAGAAUUAAAUGUGGAUUAUACCCUGUGACGUUUAAGGAGUAGUAAAAUGUUUCUGACAAGUACAAGACUUAGCUUUCCUUUUAAUAGAAACCCCCAUCCAUACUUAUAAGUCAAAACACAUUUAUAUUAAAUAGGCACUGUUUUAUUUAUUUAAUACCCCCAUUGGCAUCAUUGAUGAAAGAGAUGUGAAUUUUAAUCUAUCUAUAUAUGCAAAGUAAAACAUCAUCAUGUAAUAAUCCAGAAAAUACAUUACAGUAAUUCAUUUUCUGUUACAGAGCAUGAUAUGCAUUGUGGGUCAAAAUCCAAACAACUUAAGCUUUUAGGAAAAUCGUCCAACAUGAUAUCAGUCUCAUUGAAUGGGAGGUCAUGAGUUCACACCUCACUGCAUGUUUAGUUCUCCAAUUUAUCGAGUCUACAUGCUUAACCCAAUUGCUUCGAAACUAACUUUCCAAACUAUACACACUUGAAAUAAAAUAACAACUUGGAGAAAGGCAUGAUCCUCUAGCAAUGAUAAGUGGGAAAAAAACGGAUGCAGAAGUUAGUCUACACCAUAUAUGCCUAUAUGAGUACAUUAACUAAAAACAAUGGUUAAAGGUAUAAGCAGACUAAUGGUAUCACUAAGUUCUACUGACAGUUGGUGUGAGUGAAACAAGUUGGUAGUAGCUGAUAAGCCAUGAUUUAACCAAAAUAAAAUAUUUAACAUCUAAAAGAAUCUCGAGAAAAAAUAAUAAUGCAACUCAUCGAGGGCCAAGUCUCCUUCUUCAUCUUCUUCUCUUUCUAAGACUAGACCCUUAGGUUUGGAAGUGGGCUGUUAAGUCAAUUAUUAGAAGUUGCAACAUUCAUAGGUGGGGACUUCCACUAGGCUCAUGGGAGUUGAAACUAGGUUGUUGAGGAUGGUGCUUCAAGAUGGAACAUCUAUGGUGUUUCCAAAAAAUGCGCAAGGGGAUUAGUAUGGAAGCCAUGGUUAGGUUAAAAGAGACACUAAGCUGUUGUUCAACGGGGUGAGGAUCCUCUCUUUGAAUGUUUUUUCACAAGUUAGUAGCUUUUAGGAGCUUUAUUGAGAUGCCAAUGUUGGGAUUUGAAAAGGAUGUAAUGUCCCUUUUGAGGAAGAUGGAGGCUAGGAGAGAGUAUAGUCUGUCUUUGAGGGCAAAGAGGAAGUCCAUAUGGAUAUCUCGGUUUGUGAGGGACCUUCAGAGGUUGGAAUACUCAGUUGGCUACAAAGAUUCUUCCAAAAAUGAAAGGGGUUGUGGGAGCAGCAGUUGAAACCCAACCCUGGUUGCAUGACAAAACUAAAAAUCCUUUCUUGGAAGGUCAAAGGAGCCAACAAAGACAUCAAGGGGGAGAUCUAGUUUACUUUCAAAAAUCCAAGAUAGAACAUAUGUCCACACAACUAGUGAGGAGCUAGGGAGUAGGAAGAUUUUGGGAGUGGGGAGCUGUGGAUGCCAGAGGACCAUCAGGAGGCAUACUAGUCAGUUAGGACCAUAGGGUGCUAGAAUUGAUUGGUAUAGAAGUGAGAGUUUUCUCUAGAGUUUAUGGGCUGAUCCAAGAGGGGAAAGAGAGGAUUUUUGGGGGUGGAUUUGAGGGCCAUAAGAGGUAUUUGGUAUGACCUGUGGUGCUUAAGAAAGAAUUUUAGUAUGGUCAAAUUUCUUGAGGGAAGGACAAAUUACCUAAGAAUGUCUUCUGAUAUGAAGCGCUUUUUGGAAGUCUUAAAGCUGAACUUGAGGGAUAUUGUGCUAGUUUGAGGGCGAUUCAUUUGGUGCGGUGGUCAGAAUUUUCAAUCUUCUUUGAGGCUUAACCACUUCUUAGGGUCAAAUGAUUGAAAGCAACAUUUUUCUGACCUAAUUCAAUGUGUUCUACCUCAACUGAUUUCAGAUCAUUCUCACAUGAUUUUAGAUGGUUGUGGGAUGCAGAGGGGUAAAUCUCCCUUUAGAAUUGAAAAUAUGUUGCUUAAAUCGAAAGGAUUCAAAUACCUAGUGAGGAACUAAUGGAUGGUAAUGUGAGUGGUUCUUUUAGUUACAUUCUGGUAGCAAAACUGAAAGGCCUCAAAUAGGAUUCAAAAAGGUGGGAAAAAAGGUCUUUAGAAAACAUCGUUACUAAAAAAUUUGAGGUCCUAAAGAGUGGUUCAUUUAGUUACAUUCUGGUAGUAAAACUGAAAGCCCUCAAGUAGGAUUCAAGAAGGUGGGAAAAAAGGUCUUUAGAAAACAUUGUUACUAAAAAAUUUGAGGUCCUAAAGCAGAUCGGUUUCCAGGAUUCUAAGGAAAGAGAUGCAGUCCUCACUGUUGAAGAGUCUACGAGCAAAAGGUUACUUGUAGCUGAGUUUAACAAGUGGACCUCAUUGGAAGAAGUGAUGAGGAGGCAGAAAUUAAGACAAACCAUGCCAAAAGAGGAGAAUAAAAGUACAGGAUAAAAAUACCAAAUUCUUUCAUAAAAUGACCGAUGCACACAGGAGAAACCAUUUGUCCAAAGUCAGUGUCAAUGGGAAUCUAUUGAUCGAGGAAGUGGAUAUUAAUGAGGGGUGUCUUGGGCUUUCCAAUAUUGCUCCUACUGAAGUAAGGGAUUGGAAACCCAGCAUUAGUGGGAUGCAAUUUGAAAUGCUAGGAAGCAAUGAUCCUAGGAAAUUGGAGGCACCUAUCUCUGAGAAGGAAUCCAAUUUAUGCAGGGAUAAACCAAGGUCAAAUGGUUUUACCAUAGCAUUUUGAGAGAUGAGUUGGGACUUCAUAAAAACCGGGAUGAUGGGCUUCUUCAGGGAGUUCUUUGAUAAUAGCUCCUUUGAGAGAAUCCUAAAUGCUACUUUCUUAAUCUUGAUUCCAUAGAAAGGUGGAGUUGAGGACUUCAAAGAUUUCGGACUCAUUAGUUUAGUUGGGCGGGUGUGUAAGCUCCUAGUUUAAGUUCUAGCCAAUCAGCUCAAAAAGGUAGUAGGCAAGGUGGUUUCAAUUGACCAACCAGCUUUUGUGUAGGUCAAACAAAUUUGGGAUGCAACCCUUAAUGAGAAUGAGGCUUCAGAUUCAAUGCUAAAGAGCACCAAUAGCAAGGUCAUCUGUAGGUUGGACAUUGAAAAAGGAUAUGAUUAUGUAAAUUGGGACUUCUUGAUAACGGUUUUUGAGAAAAUGAGCUUUGGCCAAAAAUGGGUGAGAUAGAGCAAAUGGUGCAUUUUUAUGAUGAGAUUCUCCAUUGUAGACAACAUAGUCCUGUCUCAUUUUUUCUAGAGUUCAAGGGGAUUGAGGUAAGUAGACCCUCUUUCCUUUUACCUCUUUAUUUUGGAAAAUGAGGAAAUUAGCUAGAUCCUAAGGAAGGUCAAUGAAAAGAGGUUUCAUCUUGGGAUUCAAAAUAGAAAGAAUGGGUGGGGAGGGAAUGGAAGUUUUGUUAUUCACUAACAACACCUUAAUUUUUUGUGAUGCUAACCAAGAGCAAUUGAAGCAUCAAAGGACUAAGCUAGCCUUCACACAAUUUUAGACAAUAUAUGAUUUACGGAGAAAAAUGAGCUAAUUCUGAUAAAGUUGCAAAUAUGGAGAGUCUAACCUCAAUAUUGAUCUAUAGGAUUGAGAGCCUACCUACUACAUAUUUGGGUCUAUGUUUGGGUACUCCUCACAAAUCAAUACUGAUAUGGGAUUCAGUGGAGACGAGACUUCACAGAGAGCUAGCCUCUUAUAAGAGGCAAUACCUAUCAAAAGGAAGGACACUUACCUUGAUCAAAAGCACAUUGUCAAGCCUACUAAUUUAUUUCAUGUCUCUACUUAUCAUUUGAGCUGGGUAAGCUUAAGACUAGAGCAGAUCCAAAGGGAUUUCCUAUAGGGUGGAGGGCACUUGAGAGAAAGUCAGUCUACAAUUUGUUUGGACCAAAAGGAUUGAGGACUUGGCAUAAAAAAUUUCCAUACUUCUAAUAAGACUUUUCUUAGUAAAUGGAACUAGAGAUUUGCCUUUGAGAGAGAGAAUGGGACAAAAGAUGCGAAAUGGUGCUUAAGGGUGGUAAGCAAUGGUUAUAGGGUAGGGUUGUGAAAGGAUAUUAGAAUCAGGUCCGAAAUCUUUAGAAGUAGAGCUCGCUCAUGAUGGGUAAUGGCAGGAGGGAAAAAUUUUAGAUAGAUAGAAGGCGUCGAGAAAGUUCUUUAGAAGAGUCUUUACCAGUAUUGUUUUCAAUAGCCACUAAUAAAGACUCUUUGAUGGCAGAUAUAUGGGAACAAGAUAGGGAGGAAGGCUGGUGAAGUCCUCAUUCCAUAAACAAUUCCAUGAUUAGGAAUUGAAAUGAGUGGAGGUCUUUUUAUGAAGAUUGCAAUCAACCUUAAUUAGAAGGGAUAAGGAGGACAAAUCAGGGGUUGGAAGGCACAAUGAUAGAAACUUGGAGAUUCCUUUUACUAAGGAAGAAGUGUUAGCCGCCUUGUCCAAUCUGUGUAGAGAUAAAGUUCCAAGGUAAGAUGGUUUUAUGGUGGCGAUUUGUACAUGAGCUAGGAUUUUGUAAAACCUGAGGUAGUGGUUUUCUUCAAGAAGUUCUUUGUCAUUAGAUCUUUUGGAGAAGCUUAAAUGACUCCUCCUUGGUCUUGGUCCCCAAAAAAAAAAGACAGAGCUAAGGACCUAAAUGAUUCCAGACCUAUUAGCUUAUUUUUGGGGUUAUAAGCUCCUAGCAUAAGUCCUAGCCAAUAGGUUCAAAAAGGUGUUAAGGAAAGUGGUCUCAAUUUACCAGCAUGCUUUUAUGGGGGGUAGACAAACUCUAUAUGCUUAGUGUCACAAGAUGCUUCAAAUGACCCUCCCCAUGGGCUUAUAUAAGAGGUAGGAAGCUUCUAGAGACCCUUGGAGACAUCUACACUUAGCUACAAGGUGGAAGAGUGUGGAAGCUUUUAGAAAAGGCUAGAGAUGUCCACACAUCUCUACACUUGGCUAGGAGACCACUGGAAAAGUGUGGGGUGUUCUAGAAUCUUCCAAAGUCAUCUUAUACAUGACCUUGUACAUAGACUAGUGUAGGAGCUUCUAGAUUAUUCUUGAUUUGUAAAGAACCCUUCAAGGUUCUAGAGACUUCCUAAGGUGCCUAUAAAUAGGUUAAGGCCUCAUUUGGCCAAGGUACCACCCAAAAUCAUUUCCUAACCAAGCAAGUGAGUUCCAAAGCACUUGUAAAGCUUCCUUUGAGCAAUAAAAGCUUCCAUUCUUCAAGAAUUGCCUACUACGCCUUCUAAAGUUUCCAAGUCGUGAGCAUCUUAACCUAGCAAGCUAAGCAUCGGGAAUAAGGUUGACUUAGUAAGAUCAAAUGUCUUAACUUGUCUAAGUACCACACAAGCUUAAGAAAAGACUAAGUCCGUGACAGUUGGUAUCAGAGCGUAGCUACGAAGCGUGCAUAGUAAAGGAAGCAUGUCGGGCUCCAACAUGGCCGAGACUAGUGAGCAAACCCGUAGGAGGGAGACCGAGCCUACUGCACGGGGCAGGGGUAGGAAGGAUAAAUCUCAUAAUGCCAUAGCCAACAUGGAGGCAAGGCUAGCCAAGGUGGAGCUAGCCAUGGCAGACACCCGGGAAGGAGUGGACUUGAUCGAGCAAGGCAUGGAGAAAGGCUUAGAGGAUCUGAGGGAGCAUAUCCAAGAAUGGCAGACACCCGGGAAGGAGUGGACUUGAUCGAGCAAGGCAUGGAGAAGGGCUUAGAGGAUCUGAGGGAGCAUAUCCAAGACCUUCGUGAGGAGGUGCUAGGCUCACAAGUUCAGCCGGUGUCACAUGAGGAGUUCAUGUCCUUUCAAGACAAGGUCAUGAGCAUGUUUGCUAGCAUGGAGUCAAGAGUGGAGGCAUUGGUUGCACGCAUGGAGGCCCGAGACCAGGAGGUUCGACAAAAGCCGGCCAUCUACAAGAUUGUCGUAUCAACACGAGUCAUAGCCACUCAUGAGGCACCAAGGGUGGAGGUGCCCAAGCCACACACAUUCAAUGGCAAAAGGGAUACCAAGAAGCUAGACAACUUCUUGUGGCACAUGGAGCGCUACUUUGAGGCUAUCGCACUAACGGAUGAAGACACUAAGGUACAUACCGCGACCCUCUACCUCAUCGAUAAUGCUACUCUAUGGUGGCGUCGAAGGUUUGUUGAUAUAGAAAAAGGGACAUGCACCAUAGACACAUGGGAUGCCUUUAAGCGAGAGAUCAAAAGACAAUUCUACCCUGAGGAUAUGGCUUACCUAGCAAGGAAAAACAUGAAGCGUCUCAAACACACGGGCUUGAUCCGUGAAUAUGUCAAAGAGUUCUCUACACUUAUGCUUGAGAUAUCCAACAUGUCCAAGGAGAAGCUACUAUUCAACUUAAUGGACAACUUGCAAAGUUGGACCGAGCAAGAGUUGAGGAGACGUGGUGUCCAAGACCUAGCCAUGGCCAUGGCAAUAGUAGAGUCUUUAACGGAUUACAAGAGGGGAGACUCCUCCAAGAUUAAGUCUUUGGAGAAUAGCCAUGCUAUGGGUGGGGGAGACGAGGUUUCAAGGGACCACAAUGCUCCUAAAAUGGGAUAAGGCAAGACGUGGGAAGGAAGGGGUAAGGCAGAAAGGAAGGAGUUUACGCCUAAAAUCAAAUGCUUCCUAUGUGACGGUCCACAUUGGGCAUGGGAUUGUCCAAAAAAGAAAGUGCCCAGUGCCAUGAUUGAGGAGAGAGAAUAGGAAGAUGAAGCACAUAUGGGCUUGGUGCAACUACUAGGUGCCCUCCAAGUCAACCCAAAGCCUAGUAUGCCUAAGACCUCCUUACUAUCGGGGGUGCAAGUAAAAGAGGCAAAAGGGGAGCAAGCUAAGGUAGCCCACACACACAUGGACAAGGUCACCAAGAGAAAGGUGAACUCAAUGGGCAAGAGGAAGCAGCACUCCAAGCAUCGAAAGUGUAGGUGUCUGCAUCCAUCCUAGGCCUCACGGGAGAAGGAGGUGAAAAAUACCCUGGUUGAACGAGUCACCAGGAGACAAGAGUUCCCUCCCGUGAUAGAGUAUCUAGUUCAAUGGAAAUGACUACCUAAGAGGCAGGCAAGCUAGGAACAUGCAAAUACCUUGAGAAGGUUCUGGAAACACAUUGAGAGGUUUCAAGAAGAGACAACAACGGGGACGUCGACGGCAUGGGUGGGGGAGAGUGUUACAAGAUGCUUCAAAUGACCCUUCCCAUGGGCUUAUAUAAGAGGUAGUAAGCUUUUAGAGACCCCUGGAGACAUCUACACUUAGCUACAAAGUGGAAGAGUGUGAAAGCUUCUAGAAAAGACUAGAGAUGUCUCACACAUCUCUACACUUAGCUAGGAGACCACUGGAAAAGUGUGAGGUGUUCUAGAAUCUUCCAAAGUCAUCUUGUACAUGGCCUUGUACAUAGACUAGUGUAGGAACUUCUAGAUUGUUCUUGAUUUGUAAGGAACCCUUCAAGGUUCUAGAGACUUCUUAAGGUAGGUUAAGACCUCAUUUGGCCAAGGCACCACCCAAAAUCAUUUCCUAACCAAGCAAGUGAGUUCCAAAACACUAUUAAAGCUUCUUUUGAGCAAUAAAAGCUUUCAUUCUUCAAUAAUUGCCUACUACGCCUUCUAAAACUUCCAAGUUGUAAGUAUCUUAGCCUAGCAAGCUAAGCAUCGGGAGUAAGGUUGACUUAGCAAGAUCAAGUGUCUUGACUUGUCUAAGUGUCAUACGAGCUUAGGAAAAGAAUAAGUUCGUGACAUUAGGCUCUAGUUUAAAAAAAGUCUAAUAGUGGCAUUAUUUGUAAACAAGACAUUGAAAGGGCUAUGAACAUGUAAAUUGGGAUUUCCUACUAAGGGUACUAGUUAAAAUGGGCUUCAGUAAAAAAUAAGUGAGAUGGAUCAAAUGGUGUAUAUCUAAUACAAAAUUUUAUGUCCUUGUCAACAAGAUUUAAACCAGUGUUUUCUAGAGCUCCAUAGGUUUAAGGUAGGGAAACCAUCUUUACCUCUACCUUGUCAUUUUGGGGAUGUAGUCUUUCAAUCAGAUUUUAAGAAGGGUACGAGAAAGGGCCUCCAUAUUAGAAUACAAAGUUGGAGAAAGAGUUGGCAAGGGUAUGGAAUUGUCCCCUUGUUGUUUGCUAAUGACACUUUAAUUUUCUAUGAUGCUAACCAAGAGUAGUUGGAGCACCAAAGUUGGGCUUUCAUUUGAUUUGAGGCAAUCUCUGGCCUAAAGACAAUGAACAUGGAGAAACAUGAGCUUAUUAUGGUAGAGGAAGUUAAAAAAAUGGAAAGCCUUGUUGAUUAUAAUGUAGGAAAUCUGCCUACUACAUAUCUAAGCCUUCCUUUGGAAGCUCCUCACAAAUUAAUGAGAAUAUAAUAUUCAAUGGAGGAGAGAUUUCAGAGAAAGCUUGCCUUGUAGAAGAGACAAAAUCUCUCAAAUGGGCUUACCUUGAUCAAAAGCUCAUUGUCUAGCUUGCCUAAGUUAAACUAAAUCCAAAGGGAUUUUCUUUGGCCAAAGGAGGUGGGGGGGGGGGGGGGGGGGGGGGGGAUAAGGAAAAACCCCAUUUAGUUAAGUGGUCUAUAUCCAUUUAGGCAAGAGUGGAGCUCUUGGUAUAAAAAAUCUUCAUAUUCUUAACAGAGUUCUUUUGGGCAAAUGGUGAUAGAGAUUUACUACCGAGAGUAAGUCCCUUUGGAAGCAAGUCAUGGUACAAAAGUUAGAGGUAGAAAAAGGGAGUUGGUGUUUAAGGGAAGUGGGGGAUUUCCAUCGAGUGGGUUGUGGAAGGCUAUUAGAGUUGGAUAGGUCUUUAGAAUUAGAUAUCACUUCAUUGUUAGUAAUGGCAAAAGGGUAAAAUUUCGAAAAGAUAGAUGGUGCGGAGAAAGUUCUUUAGAAGAACCAUUCCUAAUGUUGUUUUCUAUAGUUGUUGCUUAAGACUCUUGGGUAGCAAAGUUAUGGAAGUAGAUUGGCAAGGAAAACUAAUGGAGUCCCUAAUUUCACAGACAAUUCCAUAAUUAGGAAUUGGAAAGAGUGAAGACCUUCCUCUAAAGACUGCAUUCAUGUUCGAUAAUAGAGGAAGUGGAGGAUAAAUUGGGCUCGAAGGAAACUAAGAGUGACAAUUUCUCUAACAAAUCUUUCUAUGCUUCCUUAACCCCAGGAAGAAGUGUGCCCUUCCCCACAAGCCCAGUUUAGGGUGCUGUUCCAAGGGCACCUCAAAUCAAAGGAUCUUGAGAAGGUUAAUCCCCAGCAUCAACCCUUAUGCUUGGUGUCUCUCACUAACAAGCAUAAAGGGGAAUCAAACCAAGAGCCUCUAUCCCAACCCUAUUCAGUGGUAAGGUGAGAUAAUGUCAACAGCAUUAAGUCUUUGUCAGGGAUCACCCAGCCUUAGCCUUAACUCAGGCAGGCAUCAAGCAUUAUGGCAUGGUGUCAAGAACAUCUAUGAGGGAUUUUGAGAAGGUUAGUGCCCAGCAUUGACCUAGCACUUGGUGACUCACAAUAUUGAAUGUAGACACCCCUUUCUUGGAGGUGGAGGAGAAAGCAAAGAGAAUAUGUAAAGCUUCUUGAGGCCCUUGUUGGUUAGGACUCUGAAUGACAGCAUGCUUAGCAUUGAGGCCUCUUUGUAAAACCAAGCCAACUGUUCACAUGUAUCCUAUGGAUAUAAAGCCAAGCAGGUACUAGACAAAUGAUGUAUUAACAAUAAAACAUUAAUAUAUCAUAGUAUUGCACAAGAUUUAGCAAAACCCAAUGUUUUCAUAACUGGAUUGACCAUUGAAUCGAAAAUAUUACCGGUUCACGGUUCAUUGGUCAAACCCGUGGUUGAACCACGGUCAAAACAAUGACGUCAUAAGUAUAUAAUUUAUAUAUUAUUAAAAUUAAAAAUAUUUAUAAAAAAUUA
RNAcentral lists this long non-coding RNA (19209 nucleotides) under Vitis vinifera (wine grape). RNAcentral describes it as "long non-coding RNA (VVIN_LNC001156)". Lineage: Eukaryota; Viridiplantae; Streptophyta; Magnoliopsida; Vitales; Vitaceae. The record is from RNAcentral.